UCAUCGUUCCAAAUAUCUGUUUCACUGUAAUAAUUGGGAUUCUCUCUUCUUACUUAAUACCUCUUUAAUUCUUUCUUCAUUAGAGAUGUUAACGUUUCACCUCCUUUGGUUUCUCCUCUUAUGUAAACCCCUUUCUCGAAUUUGACGGCCUACCACAUUCUACAACAUCCAAAGAAUGGCGUCAAGCGAUUCAUUUAAAACCUCUAGAAAAUCUGGAGAAAUUAUGAAUCUCAUGACUCAACUGUCGAGCGAGUGAUGCUCGAGCCGUACGCAGUUCACCGCGAGCUUUAGGAACCGGAUUUGAGUUGAGUUGUGGCAGAUAUGAGAUGGAAGCGAGCCGUUGAGUCCAUUGGAGGAAUCAAGACUUUGCAUGUGUAAUGUUUUAAAUUUUCAUGGGCAAUUUUUUAUCUGAAAUUCUAAUCACUAGGUUUUCAAAUCGUUAGGAGAGACAUUCAAGAAGGUGCAAGUGAAAACGCAUUUGUGGGGAAAUUUAAGAAAUAAGUUGUUUGCAACAAGUUCAACUGUAUCACCAUUGUUAAAGGAGUUUGAAAUUUUUGGGAUAAAACUCAGAGACUGCACGAGUGUGAUUCAUCACAAUUACAUGCUUUUCAACACAGUCGAUCUGUUUAUUUUUCUCCACCAGUUAGGGGACUGCACGAAUGUGAUUCAUUUGUGGGAGCCAGUUUCUGGUGCAUAGACUGUUGACCAUAUUCCGCUCUCCGGACGCACUACAAAUGUUUAAGAUUUACAAUGGAAUCCAGCUGAAGCCAACGUUUUUGCAUCGCCUUUUGUGGAUGACUGUUGCAGUUUGGGAUGUCCGAGUUGGGAAGUCGCAUGCAUUAGCCUUCAAGGCACAAAAAGAUGUGAAUGUCAUCUCAUCGAACAGGUUCUUCGGCCAAGGUACGUUGAAGACUGUAGGCUUUAUAAUUCCGUGUCAGUAACUUAAUAUGAUUCUACCACGUCCUCAACUAUUGCAGCCUCUUCUGGCAAUAAGCAGCUCACGUAAGUCACAAAGCUUAUACAGAAAACACAGCUAAUCCGGAAACAAUAGAAACUAUCUAAUGGUUUUUGGCUUAUCUAUCGUAUAUGCAGGAUAUGGGAUUUAUCCUUAGAGGAGGAUGAAGAAGAGAAAGAAGAAUUCAAAGCAUAUACCAAGGAACAACUGAGCAAGUUAAAACGCCACAAGACUUGCCUUCUUAGCUUCCUUUCUUUCACCAGAAAAUCAGGGACAAGGACUUGAAGGAACUUCACUGGCACAACCAGAUUCCAGGGAUGAUCAUCUCAAUUGCUUCCGAUGGUUUCAACAGUUUUAAUGCCUUACAACAUGUAGAACACCCUUCCUGAUCUCGGUUCCUAAGGAGAUUGAGUCUCUGAAAAAAAAAUUAAGUAUUGUCAUCUCUUGGGUUUUGUAUUGUCAUCUCUCUUUUCUACUGAAAUUUUCUUUCAUUGAUAGAAAGUUUUAUGUACUCUUUCACAACUUAACGUUUCAGAAAUAAGUUUUGAAAAUUCUCAUCUCUACGAGUUUCUAUUAUUUCACAACUUUUAAGCUUCCAACAUUGGUUGAUUUGCUUUUAGUUGCCACACAGAAUGAAAAAAACAUUUUGAAGGAAAAAAAAGCCAACAUUUCGUUAAACUGUCUGAGAUAGAAAAAUAAUAAUUGGUGGGCCAUUCUUAUGAACAUCGGUCCUCUGUCGACAAUUACUCGAGGGUGUUUGGACGUAGCACAACUCUGUUAAGCUACACAAACAAGAAAAUCUACAUUUAAAACAUUGACGAUAACUGAAAACUAAAAAAGAAACUGAAGAAAAGCAACAUUUAUAUGCAUGACCAUUCAUUAUAGAAAAAUGUAAUUGCAUGGCCAUAACAUUAUCAUAGUGUUUUGCAAAGGAAAAGUUAUGCUAAACUCGGGAUGGUUGUACUCUUCUUUGACAAUAAGGUAUGAAUUCAGUUUAGUAUGCUCCUACUUUAUUAACAAUAUAUAUAAACUAAUAUGGCCAAAAAAGAGAGCAAAAUGCAAAACGCAAUUGCAGACUAACACAAUAAUAAUGUAAAGAAAAGAAAAAUAUAAAAUUUUGAAGUUAGUGGUGCAUCUAAAUAACCGAAAUUUAAAGAUAACACAACAUAUAUAUAUCAUUUAGAUUACCAAAAUAAUGGAAAUACUAUCAUCAAAAAAAAUUGCUGAAAAUACCUUAUUACACUUUAUGGAUAAAAAAUAAUGAACUACUACGUCUAUAUAUAAUACCAACACAAAUCUACCAAGUAACUUCCUUAAUUUUCUCAAAAUAUAAGGUUAUCAAAUAUUUAUUGAUAAUACUACUGGAAAAUAUAUCAAGACAUCUUAGGUCAAAUACAUUUCAUAUAAGGAAUUAAUCUUCAAAAUUGUAGCCUUACAACUAAGAGAUACAGCCUAGAAAAAAAAGGGAACACAACAAGCACCUAAAAUUAAGCGUAUAAAAAUAAAACUGUUGCAUGUCCACAAUUAUGCAGUGUUAAGUUUUUGCUUCUGUUUUGGUGUGGGUAUUUCGGUGUUUAGCUCUAGAAAUUAAGACAUCAUUUAAGUAUUUAAAAAAUUUGGUUUGGAUUUAGUUCGGUUAUUUUAGUUUUCAGCUUAAUUUAGAUAGCAAAGGUCAGAACCAGUUAAUAUCCAAAAAUCUGGAUCAAAUUCGGUUCCAUUUUCCGUGUAAUUUCAGACAAUAUGGAUAAAAAAAAUUGAGAAAUAAUUCGAAUCCCCUAGACUAUAUUUGAGAAGUGAUUUGUAUAUGUGUCAUCACUACAUUACCUUUCACAAAAAAAAUGAUGACAUGACUUAAGAGAAAUAUGACAUGGCAUAAAUCUAAUUGUGACAUGUAAAAUUUACUAUAUUUAGAUUUAUGUUUUUGGUAAGAUUUCUUAAAUAUAAUAAUGAUGAUUUUCUAUAUACGGAUUUAUAUUUUUGGAAAAUUUUCAUAAUAUAGUAAUAACAAAUAAAUUUUAUAUCAAAAAUAUUUGUUCUCAGUAAAUAUUCAUUUUGGUAAGAUUUUAUGAUACUUAAUAACUUUUCUAUAUCUAUUUAAAUAAUAUGUUUUUAUAUAUAAAUAAUAAUUACGAAUAUUAAAAUUUUACAUCAAUGUAUGAAUCAUAUUUUUAAUUUUAAAAUAAGUGUAGUUUAAAAUAUAUUUUAUCAACGUAUAUAUGUUAUUUUUAUUUAAUGUAUAUAUUAUUAGAAAUAAUUUAUAUAUUUACAAAUAGACAUAUUUUAAAAUGGUAAUUAAAUAAAAAAUAAAUAUAAUAAAGUAACUUUAUAAAUUUCAAUUAUUUUUAUCAAAAGUUAAAUAAUAAAAAAUUAAAAGGUCAAAGUAAACUUGAAUAAAUCAAACUAAAAACAAUUACAUUAUGGUUUUAUUUUUUAAACUAAUAAAAGUAAAAUAGAAAAAUAGAAAAAUUUAUUUAUAUAUAACAUUUUUAAAUAUUUUAUAUCUGCGCAUGCGCAGGAAAACUCCUAGUUGUUUUAAGAAACAAUAUUAGAUAAUUCGAAUACUUUUCAAUAUUUUUAAAAUAUCCAGGUAGUUCAAUUUUUUUGGUAAUUUGAUUUAUAAAUAUAAGUUCAGUAUAUUUAGUUAUUUAAAAUCUAAAUACAAUUGAUAUAUUAAGGUAUAUAAUUUGUAUUUUAAAACUUGGGUAUCUAUUCGGUUUUUCUUUCUGGUUCGGUUUAGUUUUCAGUUCUAGAAAUAUAACAGUCACUCGGAUUUUUAUAAUAUUCUGUUUGUUUUUAUUUCUGGUUUGGUACAAAUCGGUUCUUCAGUUUUGGAUAAAUGUAGCUGCACGUAUAUGUGGCUAUCUAUAUGGAAUAACUAAACAACUAAUUUCAACCAUUUUAAGCAUUACAUAUGGGAAAACAAUAUCAAAUCCAUCACGAGUAUCAAUCCAAAAAUAUAUGAAGGUAAAGACAAUCAAAUUUUAUUUGUUAUGAACUGUAUAUAUUCAAAAUAA
Brassica rapa (field mustard) is the source of this 3969-nucleotide RNA transcript. RefSeq lists it as uncharacterized. NCBI's taxonomy places the organism in Eukaryota, Viridiplantae, Streptophyta, Magnoliopsida, Brassicales, Brassicaceae. The record is from RefSeq and is a predicted model, not a curated record.